AGUGAACGCUGGCGGUAGGCCUAACACAUGCAAGUCGAACGGCAGCACAGUAAGAGCUUGCUCUUACGGGUGGCGAGUGGCGGACGGGUGAGGAAUACAUCGGAAUCUACUUUUUCGUGGGGGAUAACGUAGGGAAACUUACGCUAAUACCGCAUACGACCUACGGGUGAAAGCAGGGGAUCUUCGGACCUUGCGCGACUGAAUGAGCCGAUGUCGGAUUAGCUAGUUGGCGGGGUAAAGGCCCACCAAGGCGACGAUCCGUAGCUGGUCUGAGAGGAUGAUCAGCCACACUGGAACUGAGACACGGUCCAGACUCCUACGGGAGGCAGCAGUGGGGAAUAUUGGACAAUGGGCGCAAGCCUGAUCGAGCCAGACCGCGUGGGUGAAGAAGGCCUUCGGGUUGUAAAGCCCUUUUGUUGGGAAAGAAAAGCAGCAGGUGUAUACAUCGCUGUCCUGACGGUACCCAAAGAGUAAGCCCCGGCUAACUACGUG
RNAcentral lists this ribosomal RNA (492 nucleotides) under uncultured bacterium. RNAcentral's name for it is "partial 16S ribosomal RNA". It matches the Rfam family "Bacterial small subunit ribosomal RNA", at positions 29 to 507 of the family's 1533-position model. The record is from RNAcentral.